Taeniopygia guttata (zebra finch) is the source of this 4552-nucleotide long non-coding RNA. Lineage: Eukaryota; Metazoa; Chordata; Aves; Passeriformes; Estrildidae. The record is from Ensembl.
CUGUCUCGGCUGUCACACCUGUCCUGAGGAAAGCCCUGUGGAAGGAGCUCAGUGCUGGGAUUCAGGACCCUGAGGCCACUGUGAAACUGCAAAUUCUUUCCAAGCUGUUGCCACCUCCGGGAAGCAAAGGGCUGCACAACCUGAUGGACUGCCUUCCUGCUGCUCCGGAGAGAGCAGGCAAUGAAGAGAGCUGGGCCGUGGCAGAUGCCAUAUCCACGGUGCUUAAAAACUCAGAGGAGCUGCAUUCCUGGAGGAGACAUCUCUUCUCAGCCUGCAUAAAGGGAUUAGUUGCCAUGUACAGCAGCAGUAAAGAUGAAGGCAAGCAAGAAGUGGAGAGGUCCAUGCUGCUGAGUGUGUGGUUGAAGAAGUGGACCCAGAUGACUGGUGUGACCUUGUGAAGACAGGGCUCAAGUACCGUUACAGAGAUGAAACAUUUCUGAAGGUCCUGAACGUUGCCAUCCAGUUACUAUACAUGAAAGAAUCCUCACUUAGAGCGUAGUCAAGCUCUCCAAACUACACAUGGGGGUCACACAGCACUCUCUAUUUUUGGCAGCCAUCCUGAGGUCAAGAGAAGAAGAUGGCAUGAGCGUCCAGACAAGAGGAUGGCUCUCUGUGGUCUCAGACAGUGUUCCCUGGGAGGAAGGGCAGCCUUUGCCUCGCCUGCACAGCUCAGGUGGAUGUGACAGAACUGGUGUGGCCUGACAAGGCAUGAGCAGCUGUCUGUGCACUGGAGUGCCUUGAAACCUUUCUCUGUGAGGUUUUGGACACGUUUCUCUUUGGGGGAGCCAGGGCUGGCACAAGGACUCAUGAAGGUGCUGCUCUGGCACUGGAGCUGUUGCCCUGUGGAGCCAUUUUAAAGGUCUGAUAAUGGAACAUUUUGGAGGCCGUUUCUGGAAUUCCAUUUGUAGCUGGAUCUCGCUCCAAGUGCAGCAGUCCAGGUGAGGGUUCUGACCUCUCCAGACUUGUGCUCACCUUGGUACAGCCUGGGGCUGGAGCAGUUUUCCAGGGAAGUGGAGAUGGCUGAGGAUGGGUGCUCUGGAAAGCAGGGACCUGCUGGGAUUUGCAUUUGCAAAGCUGCCGUGAAGUUUGUAAAACCAGCAGGAAAUUCUAAUUCCUGUGGUUUUUGGGGAGGAGGUGCAGGUCACCCUGAGAGCUAGAUCAGAACUGGUUUGUGGUAAGGAGUCUGAGGUGUGUAAGUGCCACAGCUGGUAUGAGCUGUGUGCUAAAUGCAGUCCCAGCCCCAGAGGGAGGCUGAUGGGCUCUGCUCAUUGCUGUCCCCAGCUGUCCCCAGCCCGCUGCUCCCCCGUGGAUCUGCUCUGGAUUCGGGCUGUCGGUGCUGGAGCGCCCUGCUCCCUGCAGGGCCCUGCCCCUAACCCACGCAGAGAGAGCCCUGCUGGCCAGAGUGAUCUUUUUUAUUCCUUUAUCCCUGUGCUGUUAGCAAGGAAGGGAUGGGACUGCUCUUGGCCGGGAGCACUCAGUGCUCAGGUAAACACCCGCCUCGGAGCGUGAGGGUUUGCAGAGCGAGCAGCUGCUGCGGCUCAGGAGCAGCCACAAGUUCUUUGUUCCAAGGCAGGCCAGAACUUUCUAACCCCGGGGUUUAUUUGGCUUUUCGAACCCAGCACCUCUGCUCAGUUCUGCCGCACUGAGGGUACUUUUGUUCAAUGCCUUCUGUUGGAACUUGUCAGCUCUCAGUGUAGCGCACACAGCCCCAGCCCUGCCCUGCAAACCCUUCCCCAUCGUGCCCACACAGUUUCUCUCUCACUCACUCGGGGCAGGCUCUUACUGACAGCCACAGAAACAGAAGUUAUUUUAUUUUAUUUUAUUCUUUUCCUGCGUAAUGCCCGUGUCUUGUAUUGGUACAUCAAUCCCAGCUUCUCCCGAGGCUGCAGAUCAAAUCUUUCAGUGUCUGUGGGAGUUUCUGGUUUUCCCAUUCCCAUGUCUUCCCCCUCUCUCUGUAUGAAAAAAAAAAUUAUUAGUGGAUUUGUUAAGCAUUUGUUGCAUAUAUUAACAUAAAUAAGGUGUUAUCAUUAGUAUUAUUAUUGUAAUAAUAUAAUUAAAAUGUAUACUUUUGUUACAAGAUUUUUUAAUUAUGGUGUUAAAUUUUAUUUAUUGUUAUGUUUUAUUAGUUAUUCUUAUUUUUGAUAUUUCUUAAAGUUGUACACUUUAAUAAGUAGAUUUGGUGUUUUAGAUAAAUGUAUACAUUUUAUUAAAUUUUUAUAUUUAUAUUUGUAUGUUAAUAAAAUAAAUUUUUUUGUUGGUUUUUUGUAAAACUGCGUAUUUAAUAGUUUUAUAUUUGUUUAAAAAGUUAUUUAGGGUAAGGGAUGUCGAAUUAGAUUGUUUAUUUAGAAAAUAUUUUAAUUGAUUUAAUUGUUUUAGUGUUGUUGAAGUAAUAGGUGGUAUAAAAACUGAUGCUACCAUUUUGAUUUUAAGUUUCAAGGCUUAAAAUUACUUUUAUAUUUUGAUUACUAUUGAUGGAUAAAUGACUUUUUUGUUUUAAAUUGGUAGCUAUUUUAAUAUUAAGAGUUAAUAAUGUAAGGGCUUUUUAAUUAUAUGGACUAUUUGUAAUGGUUUUUAUUGGUAUCUUAAGUAAGUAAGUAAAGAAUGGAUUUUUUUGAGUAGUGCUAGAUAAAUACAAAGUAUUUAAACUUGAAACUUUAGUUAAAGUUACUUAAAUGUUUGUUUUAGGUUGGUUAAUUGGUAAAGUGACAUAAUUAAAAGUAAAUAAAGUAAAUAGAGUAGAAGUAAAAUAUUUGAUAGAAUUUCAUAAUUUGUAAGUUACUAAAUAAGAUUUUUAUAACAUUGAUUUUUAUAUUUAUAAAGAAACUUCAAGUUUCUAUAUUUUGGUGGGUGUAGUACAAGAUGUUAGGUGUAAGUUGCAAUUCUUGUGUAAUCUGCGUUUGUAUUUCCAUAGUGUAAUUUGUCUUUGUAUUUACAUUGGUGUUUUAUUUGUGGAGUGGUGAGUGUGUUUUUUGUGUGAUCUGAUUUUAUGUUUCUCAUUGAAAUUUACUUGGGGUUAUGUACUUGUUGAGAUAUAAGUAAACUUUAUGUUUUGAUAUGAGAAAUAAUAAGUUGUUAUAAUUUUUCAGUUAUAAGUAUGAAGAAAUGCAAGAGUAAAAUAAUGUAUGUAGUAAAGAAGAAAUUGAUAAUAAUUAGGAAUUACUUAGAUAAUAUCUAUAAUUAGUAACAUAGGUGAAAUUAUAUAAUUAGUAAGUAUUAAAAGAUUGUACAUACUUUUAGCAUUUAUAACAGUUGAUAAAUGUUAAAUUAGUGGUAAGUUAAAUCAUUAUGUGUGGAUAAUGAUUUUUUAAGUUUAUUUUAAAAAUAAGUUUAUUUGUUAUAUUGUUAAAUUGUUAAGUUAAAAUUAUUUGAAUUUAUUUUUGAUGUAGAAAAUAUUUGGGUUUGUUGUUAAUUAUUUUAUUUAGGUAGAGUUAGGGUUAGGUUAUAGUUUAAAUUUUAAUUGGUGAAUGUUAUUUAAUAUAUUUUUAUAUAAUGUUUUUAAAAAUAGUAGUUAAGAGUAAAAAUGUUAGGAUUAAAGAUUAAUUACAUUAUUUAAUAAUUGGAUUUUUUUAGAAGUUUUUUAGAAUAGAGAUGCUUUGAAUAUAGUAAACUUCUUUUUAAAGAUUUGAAAGUGGUUAUGGACAGGAUUGUGAGUUUGGAUUUGGAUAUUGAGAGUGUGAAGGUGGAGGAAAUGUAUGAGAGAGUGAUUACUUAGUGUGAAACUUAGAAAAAGAAAUUAAUGUUGUAGUUGGAUUUUGUAUUCAAGUGAUUUUGUAAUAAUAACUGAGGAAAGUGAUAAGAUUAACAGUUUGGAGGAGGUUUUUAAUGAAAUACCUUUUUAAUCUUGAAAAAUAUUAAAAAUUAUGAGAUAACAUUAAGUUAAAUUAUAGAGUUAGUGUAGAGAUUAGUUAGAGAAUUAACUUGGUUUAAGCGCUGUAUAAGUUGAGAAUAAAAAAGUAGAGAUUAGAAAUUUUAUGUGGUUUUUAGAUCAUUAUAUAAAGAGAUAAUAAAGUAUAUGAAAGUUGGUUGUAAAUAUUAUAACAAUAUUUAAUAAAUAUUUAUUAUUAUAAAAAUUAAUAUAUUGAUAUAAUAUAAUUAGUAUAUUAGUGGUAAGUGUUUGAAGAAGUUAGGAUAACUUUUAAAAAAUAUUUAUAUAUUAAGGAAAUAGAGUAAAAUUUUUAAACAGCAUGAUAUGAAUAGUAAUUGCUAUUUUUUGGUGUUACUUAUAAAAGAUAAGAGUAGAAAUUGUAAUGAAGUACAGAAUUUUUGAUGAAAUUGAUGAUAUAAUACACUGUACUUUUUUUUACUUCUGAAUAGGUGUUUGUCAGUGUUUUCUUUUAGUUGUUUUAAUUGGAGGUGUUUUAUUUUUUAAGAAAAUUAACCAUAUACUGUAUAGUUUAGAGAAAUGAUUUUUUUAAUAAAAUUUAGCAUAAGUUAUAUUAAAUAACAUUUAAAUUUAGACUGAAUGAAUUUUGAUAGUAAGGAAUAAUAAACUAAAUUUUAAUUGAUAAAAAGAAAAUGUAUUUGUUUAAAUGUAUUGACACUUAAUUUUGUU